Molecule: unclassified non-coding RNA, 702 nt
Filed under: Bombus terrestris (buff-tailed bumblebee)
Lineage: Eukaryota; Metazoa; Arthropoda; Insecta; Hymenoptera; Apidae
Description: misc RNA ENSBTSG00005037133.1
Source: RNAcentral
GUAAGUCUACAAUACAUUAUAUCAUGAAAAAGUCAAAGAACGAGGGAACACUUGUAAACAAAACUCGAUCAGGUCGACCAAAGAAAUUGACUGAAAGGAAGGAGAAAGUUAUCAUUCGCGAAUGAAAAAAAAAUCCUACUACAUCCGCUCCUCGACUCGCAAUGGUAUGGUAGCUGAUAUGUUUCAUAAAGAAGUUCGCUCGGAAUUAUGUCGACGAAUCUUACGAAACAAUAACUUUCAUGGCAGAGUAACGCGAAAGAAGCCAGAUAUUAAUGCGGAUUAUUGGAAGAUUUCCACUUCCAACAUUAUAAUGAUCCUAAGCAUACUGCUAGAAUUGUGAAAAAAUGGAUCGUACAUAACAUACCACACAUGUUAAUUAUUCCAUCGCAAAGUCCAGACAUAAAUUCGAUUGAAAAUUUAUGGGCUGAAAUCGGAAAAAGAUUAAAUAAAUUUCAGAUAACCUGAAAGCAAAUAUUGAAAGAUAAAAUUAUAGAAAUAUGGAACUCCGUUGAGUGUAGUUUUACAAAAUCAUUGGUUUACAGUAUGGGACGUCGAUUGAGACACAUUAUUGCUACUAAAGGUGGCCCAACAAAAUAUUAAUAUUAAAUAAUUUAAUAAUAUAUAUAGCGUUCAAAUACUUUUGUGUGUCACUUACAAUGCGUGUUUCUAAUAAAUGUAUCAUAACUCCUACCUACGUUGUCG